Molecule: long non-coding RNA, 255 nt
Filed under: Phoenix dactylifera (date palm)
Lineage: Eukaryota; Viridiplantae; Streptophyta; Magnoliopsida; Arecales; Arecaceae
Description: long non-coding RNA (PDAC_LNC010930)
Source: RNAcentral
CUUCAAGUUUUCGGAAAGGUCUUUAAGUUCUAGUUGUGGAGGUUUGACAUUGGAUGGCACUAGCUGAGAUUCCGAAAUAGGCAAUGAUUCAAACUUGGUGGCCCAUCUGCUAGUAUCCAUCGCAGGAAUGGAAUCUAACAAUGCAUUAGCCUCUUAACGUGACUCACAAUCUUAACCAAAAUUAGCCAAACAUCUUUCUAAUGGGUCAGAAUAACUCGACUCUUCAAAAGAACUGCUAAUUAUGUUCUCAAUCAU